Molecule: long non-coding RNA, 3285 nt
Filed under: Salmo salar (Atlantic salmon)
Lineage: Eukaryota; Metazoa; Chordata; Actinopteri; Salmoniformes; Salmonidae
Description: lncRNA (ENSSSAG00000113744.1)
Source: RNAcentral
AGUAGUUGUGGUAGUGGUAGUUGUAGUGGUAGUGGUGGUGGUGGUGGUUGUAGUAGUAGUAGUAGUGGUAGUUGUGGUGGUAGUUGUAGUGGGGGUGGUGGUGGAAGUAGUUGUAGUGGUGGUGGUAGUGGUGGUGUUUGUAGUAGUGGUAGUAGUAGUGGUGGUAGUUGUAGUAGUGGUAGUUGUAGUAGUGGUGGUGGUGGUGGUGGUGGUGGUGGUAGUUGUAGUGGUGGUAGUGGUGGUGUUUGUAGUAGUGGUGGUAGUAGUGGUGGUGUUAGUAGUGGUAGUUGUAGUAGUGGUAGUAGUAGUAGUAGUAGCGGUGGUAGUAGUGGUAGUUGUAGUUGUAGUAGUAGUGGUAGUGGUAGUUGUAGUAGUGGUAGUUGUAGUAGUAGUGGUGGUGGAGGUGGUAGUUGUGGUAGUAGUAGUAGUGGUAGUUGUGGUAGUAGUAGUAGUGGUAGUUGUGGUAGUUGUAGUAGUGGUGGUGGUAGUUGUAGUAGUGGUGGUGGUAGUUGUAGUAGUAGAGUGGUAGUUGUAGUAGUAGUGGUGGUGGUAGUAGUGGAAGUAGUAGUAGUGGUAGUUGUAGUGGUGGUGUUAAAAGUUGUAGUAGUGGUGGUAGUGGUAGUAGUGGUAGUUGUAGUAGUGGUGGUGUUAAAAGUUGUAGUAGUGGUGGUAGUGGUAGUAGUGGUAGUUGUUGUAGUGGUGGUGGUGGUGGUGGUAGUUGUAGUAGUAGUGGUAGUUGUAGUGGUUGUGGUAGUAGUAGUGGUGGUGGUUGUAGUGGUAGGUGUAGUGGUGGUGGUGGUGGUGGUAGUUGUAGUAGUAGUUCCACUAGUAGUAGUAGUAGUAGUAGUAGUAGUAGCAGUACCAAUAGUAGUAGUAGUAGUGGUGGUGGUAGUUGUAGUAGUGGUGGUGGUAGUUGUAGUAGUAGAGUGGUAGUUGUAGUAGUAGUGGUGGUGGUAGUAGUGGAAGUAGUAGUAGUGGUAGUUGUAGUGGUGGUGUUAAAAGUUGUAGUAGUGGUGGUAGUAGUGGUAGUUGUUGUAGUAGUGGUGGUGUUAAAAGUUGUGGUGGUAGUGGUAGUAGUGGUAGUUGUUGUAGUGGUGGUGGUGGUGGUGGUAGUUGUAGUAGUAGUGGUAGUUGUAGUGGUUGUGGUAGUAGUAGUGGUGGUGGUUGUAGUGGUAGGUGUAGUGGUGGUGGUGGUGGUGGUGGUGGUAGUUGUAGUAGUAGUUCCACUAGUAGUAGUAGUAGUAGUAGUAGUAGUAGUAGUAGUAGCAGUACCAAUAGUAGUAGUAGUGGUGGUGGUAAUGGUAGUUGUAGUAGUGGUGGUGGAGGUGGUAGUUGUAGUAGUGGUAGUUGUAGUAGUAGUGGGGGUGGUGGUAGUUGCAGUGGUGGUGGUAGUUGUGGUGGUGGUAGUAGUAGUAGUAGUGGUGGUGGUAGUUGUAGUGGUGGUGGAGGUGGUAGUUGUAGUAGUAGUGGUGGUGGUGGUAGUUGUGGAGGUGGUAGUUGUAGUAGUAGUGGUGGUGGUAGUGGUAGUUGUAGUAGUAGUGGUGGUGGUGGUAGUUGUGGAGGUGGUAGUUGUAGUAGUAGUGGUGGUGGUAGUUGUGGUAGUUGUAGUAGUUGUAGUAGUAGUAGUAGUAGUAGUAGCAGUACCAAUAGUAGUAGUAGUGGUGGUGGUGGUAGUAGUUGUAGUAGUAGUAGUGGCGGUGGUGGUGUUAGUUGUAGUGGUGGUGGAGGUGGUGGUAGUUGUAGUGGUAGUAGUAGUAGCAGUAACAAUGGUAGUACCACUAGUAGUAGUAGUAGUAGUAGUAGUAGCAGUACCAAUAGUAGUAGUGGUGGUGGUGGUGGUAGUUGUAGUGGUGGUGGAGGUGGUGGUUGUAGUAGUAGUAGUGGUGGUGGAGGUGGUGGUUGUAGUAGUAGUGGUGGUGGUAGUUGUAGUAGUAGUGGUGGUGGUGGUAGUUGUAGUAGUAGUGGUGGUUGUGGUAGUUGUAGUAGUAGUGGUGGUGGAGGUGGUGGUUGUAGUAGUGGUGGAGGUGGUAGUUGUAGUGGUGGUGGUAGUUGUAGUAGUAGUAGUAGUACCACUAGUAGUAGUAGUGGUGGUGGUGGUGGUGGUAGUUGUAGUAGUAGUAGUAGUACCACUAGUAGUAGUAGUAGUAGUAGUAGUAGCAGUACCAAUAGUAGUAGUAGUGGUGGUGGUAAUGGUAGUGGUGGUAGUAGUAGUGGUGGUAGUAGUAGUGGUGGUGGAGGUGGUAGUGGUAGUAGUAGUUGUAGUAGUGGUAGUUGUACUAGUAGUGGGGGUGGUGGUAGUUGUAGUGGUGGUGGUGGUAGUGGUAGUAGUAGUGGUGGUGGUGGUAGUUGUAGUAGUAGUGGUGGUGGUAGUUGUAGUAGUAGUAGUAGUAGUAGUACCACUAGUAGUAGUAGUAGUAGCAGUACCAAUAGUAGUAGUAGUGUUGGUGGUAGUUGUAGUAGUAGUAGUAGUAGUAGUAGUAGUAGUAGCAGUACCAAUAGUAGUAGUAGUGGUGGUGGUAGUAGUUGUAGUAGUAGUAGUGGCGGUGGUGGUGUUAGUUGUAGUGGAGGUGGUGGUAGUUGUAGUGGUAGUAGUAGUAGCAGUACCAAUAGUAGUACCACUAGUAGUAGUAGUAGUAGUAGUAGUAGUAGUAGUAGCAGUACCAAUAGUAGUAGUAGUGGUGGUGGUGGUAGUUGUAGUGGUGGUGGUAGUUGUAGUAGUACCACUAGUAGUAGUAGUAGUAGCAGUACCAAUAGUAGUGGUGGUGGUAGUAGUAGCAGUACCAAUAGUAGUGGUGGUAGUAGUCGUAGUGGUGGUGGUAGUACCAGUAGUAGUAGUAGUGGUGUUGGUAAUAGUAGUAGUAGUAGUAGUAGUAGUGGUGUUGGUAGUAAUAGUUGCAGUAGUAGUGUCAUUGACCAUGUGAUGGUUUACUAAUAGUUUUUCCCAGUGUCCACAGAAGUGUGGAGGUUGGACAUCUGUUUCCUCUUCUUUCCUCACCCUCUUCCUGCUUUCCUCUCAUCUCUCCAUCGCGGGGCCAGAAUGAGCUAAUAAUGAGCCAUGAUGAGUGUUCCUCAACAGACCGAAGGGAACUUAACAAGAAGAGAGGAAGAAGUGCAGGUCUUCAGGUUGUAAUGUGAAUAGCAGGACAGACUGCUCAUUAAAGCAGCUCACUGCAUCGUCACAAACACACAGGGGCUUUUAUGAGAACAGAACAGAGGAAGGCCACCCUAGUCAUAGACUGUUCUCUCUGCUACCGCACGGAAAGCGGUACCGGAGUGCCAAGACUA